Molecule: ribosomal RNA, 468 nt
Filed under: uncultured bacterium
Lineage: Bacteria
Description: partial 16S ribosomal RNA
Rfam family: Bacterial small subunit ribosomal RNA
Source: RNAcentral
GACGAACGCUGGCGGCGUGCUUAACACAUGCAAGUCGAACGGAAAGGCCCUGCUUUUGUGGGGUGCUCGAGUGGCGAACGGGUGAGUAACACGUGAGUAACCUGCCCUUGACUUUGGGAUAACUUCAGGAAACUGGGGCUAAUACCGGAUAGGAGCUCCUGCUGCAUGGUGGGGGUUGGAAAGUUUCGGCGGUUGGGGAUGGACUCGCGGCUUAUCAGCUUGUUGGUGGGGUAGUGGCUUACCAAGGCUUUGACGGGUAGCCGGCCUGAGAGGGUGACCGGCCACAUUGGGACUGAGAUACGGCCCGGACUCCUACUGGAGGCAGCAGUGGGAGAUAUUGCACAAUGGGCGGAAGCCUGAUGCAGCAACUCCGCGUGCGGGAUGACGGCCUUCGGGUUGUAAACCGCUUUCGCCUGUGACGAAGCGUGAGUGACGGUAAUGGGUAAAGAAGCACCGGCUAACUACGUG